RNAcentral lists this unclassified non-coding RNA (229 nucleotides) under fungal sp. RNAcentral's name for it is "partial internal transcribed spacer region". The stretch from base 1 to 46 matches the Rfam family "Eukaryotic small subunit ribosomal RNA", at positions 1786 to 1831 of the family's 1831-position model. Lineage: Eukaryota; Fungi. The record is from RNAcentral.
AAGUCGUAACAAGGUUUCCGUAGGUGAACCUGCGGAAGGAUCAUUAACACUUUUUAUUAUUUUGUUUUUUUUCUAAAACAAAAUUUAAAACCCCACAAUUUUGGAUGAAUUUAAUUAAUUUAUUUUUUAUUUUAUUUUUUUUAUUAUAACCCUAUUAUUUGACUACAUUUUUAUUUAAUUAUUAAAAAAUUAAAAAAACAACUCUUAACAACGGAUAUCUUGGCUCUCG